GGCGUGCUUAACACAUGCAAGUCGAACGGGCACUUCGGUGCUAGUGGCGAACGGGUGAGUAAAGCGCAGGUAAUCUGCCGCAAAGACGGGGACAACGUUCCGAAAGGGACGCUAAUACCGGAUGUUGUGCGGAGUUCGCAUGAACUUUGCACUAAAGAUUUAUCGCUUUGCGAGGAGCCUGCGUCCGAUUAGGUAGUUGGUGAGAUAAAAGCCCACCAAGCCGACGAUCGGUAGCCGGUCUGAGAGGAUGAACGGCCACAAUGGAACUGAGACACGGUCCAUACUCCUACGGGAGGCAGCAGUGGGGAAUAUUCCACAAUGGGGGGAACCCUGAUGGAGCGACGCCGCGUGAGUGAAGAAGGGCUUCGGCUCGUAAAGCUCUUUUCUGAAGGACGAAUGGCCAUUUGGAAUGGCAGAGACGGUACUUUGGGAAUAAGCCACGGCUAACUACGUGCCAGCAGCCGCGGUAAUACGUAGGUGGCAAGCGUUGUCCGGAAUUAUUGGGCGUAAAGGGAGCGCAGGCGGNGCGGUAAGUCCAAAUUAAAAGUGCAGGAGUAAUGCCUGUGAUGGUUUGGAAACUAUCGUUCUUGAGAGCAGGAGAGGCAAGCGGAAUUCCCGGUGUAGCGGUGAAAUGC
RNAcentral lists this ribosomal RNA (635 nucleotides) under uncultured rumen bacterium. Its description in RNAcentral is "bacterial SSU rRNA". It matches the Rfam family "Bacterial small subunit ribosomal RNA", at positions 41 to 689 of the family's 1533-position model. The record is from RNAcentral.